Non-coding RNA from Zootermopsis nevadensis, 337 nucleotides. The record is from RefSeq and is a predicted model, not a curated record. NCBI's taxonomy places the organism in Eukaryota, Metazoa, Arthropoda, Insecta, Blattodea, Termopsidae.
AUGACCUGUAUAUGCUACACAACUAACAUUAAAUGGCUCCAAUGUCUUUCAGAUUUCACAGAUGCAGCACACAGCAGUGACCAUUAGUUAUGUCACUAUGAAUUACUCACCAGAGCAUUGCCGUGGACCAUGUAAAGAUGUGUCCUUCUCUUUACAACUCAUUAGUGCGGUCAUAAACAGCCUUGCCACGAAUUUAAGGUCUUGUAUGGUAUAAAUCAGCCGGAGCAUGAAGCUGAUCACUCACUUCCAUCCAUUGCUGAGAUAGGGUGGAUUGAGUGUUACACCCCUUCUUCUAGGCAACAUGGAGUUUUCCUCCGGGGGCUUCCCCAGUUUCUCU